GCUCGUGGAUCGAUGAAGACCGCAGCUAAAUGCGCGUCAGAAUGUGAACUGAAGGACACAUGAACACCGACAAGUUGAACGCAUAUUGCACAUCGUACUACCAGUACGAUGUACACAUUUUUGAGUGCCUAUAUUUAACAAUUCAACUGCACGUGCGCUAGCUAGCGCAUACGCGUGUUGAUUUAAUGUACACCCACGUACAACGGUAAAAGUUACAAAACACGUUGCACAUCUCGCUCCAUCGCUUACGCACGCACCUGAUUGCCUCGUUAUUUGCUGCUGGGCACAACCAACCAGGAAUGACUCGGUGGUGUUGGUGGUGGUGGUGGUGUGGUAUGUGUCUGCAAAACCCCAUGUGUCAACCUCGACUGGCCUAUGGCAGGGUUGUUUGCAGAGAGACACGUUGAAUGCGCGCACCAUCGCGCCGCGAGUGUGUUACAAGCAAUAGCGAACAUGUAAAAACAACAGCAGGCCUCAAAUAAUGUGUGACUACCCCCUAAAUUUAAGCA
Molecule: ribosomal RNA, 509 nt
Filed under: Aedeomyia venustipes
Lineage: Eukaryota; Metazoa; Arthropoda; Insecta; Diptera; Culicidae
Description: eukaryotic LSU rRNA
Rfam family: 5.8S ribosomal RNA (bases 1-130)
Source: RNAcentral